RNAcentral lists this long non-coding RNA (2195 nucleotides) under Theobroma cacao (cacao). RNAcentral's name for it is "long non-coding RNA (TCAC_LNC000510)". The record is from RNAcentral. Lineage: Eukaryota; Viridiplantae; Streptophyta; Magnoliopsida; Malvales; Malvaceae.
GGCCAAAGCAUGAAGUGAAGAGGAAAGGAAAGAACACAAACCCUAGGUGGGAAAAUUGAAGAAAAAGCGUGAGAUUUCAAGGGAUUAAGCUAAUAAAGGUAAAAUUUUGUGAUUUUAUCUUGUGAUUUACACUACCCAUGCUUUCUUUUUCAUUUUUCAUGCUUAGAACUCAAGUUUGCAUGAUGAACCCAUGCUGGCCGAAUUUGAGAGGAGAGGUUUUGAGCAUUGAUUUUGCUAGAUUUCAAGCUAAUUAAGUGUUUUUGGUUGUUUGGUAAUGGAAAGUAUGAAAAUCUAGCAAGGAAUCACUUUGUUCUUCACAAACCCACAAGAGGCCGAAUUUUCUAGGGAGGAUAUUGAGGCUGAAAUUGAUGAUAUUUCAUGAUAUUUUGGUGGUAUUUAAUGAUUGGUGAGGCUAGAAAUUUAAUGGGAAAUUUUGGCAUGAAAAUCUGAAUUUUUACCUAAUGUAUAGACAUGUGCGAUUUAUGGUUCAGACUGAUAAAUUGAAUCAUAUUCACAGUCAUUGAGGUAUUUUAAGUAUAAUUGGAGUGUAGAAAGUGAAAGAAAUCGAUUUGGAGUUAAAUUGGAGGUUUUAGCCAAUUACACCUCGAAUAGUGCGAAUUAGGUCAAUACCGUAUUUAAACGGCUAUUUAAACAUUUUGCAGCACAUUUCGUGCAUACAUAUAGAUUUAUAGAGCCUGAAAUAGUUUAUGAUAAAUUGACAUAAUUUAUUAAAAUUAGUGUCAUGUAUGAUGUAUAGGUGGUGAGCCCUCUAACAAGGGUAAAGAGAUUGUGUCUAAAGACCGGGAAUAGGAGUAUAUCGAACUCCUAGUACUGUGAGUAACCUUACUAUCGUCGUAAUUAUCUAGAGUGAUUUUUAUCCGAUUUUGUGAUUUUAUGAAAAAUGAGUUUAAAUGGUAAAUUUUUAGGUUUUAUAAACAAAAUGUGUUUAAAUACAAAUGAUUUCAUAAAUGGUCUUGAAAUUGAAUGAAGGCUUUGAAAAUAAAGUAAUUGGAGACCAUUUGAUGUAUUGUGAAUUUAUGGUUCUAAUUGAUUGGCUUAUGACAAUGUUGGCCUGAAUGGCUGAAUUGGUAUUUGUGUUGAAAUGUAUAAACUGUUGUUUGCCUUGAUAAGCUGGAUAAUGAUAAAAUUCCCAUAUCAUGCUGUUGAAUUUUUAUUGUAUGAUGGGUUUAGCUUGCUGCAGUGGACUGGUUCUGUGGACCAACCUAUUAGAGGGGCACGGAACCUGGUCAUAUAUAUGUACCUCGAUUGGAAAGGUGCGUUGGGUAACUCCCGAGGUCAAACUUUAGAGUUCAUUUCACGCCCAACCACCACGUGAGGGGAACUCUGCCAACGCCAAGGAACGACUAUGUUUUCAAAAUAAAAACAUGAUUUAUACGUACAUAACUUUUUAACAGCCUUGGCGAAUUCGGUUGGGAUAGCCCUCGAUCAAGGCAUCCUUGAUAACUGGGUAUGAGAAUGAUUUUGGCACGAGCCAAAGUUUUAAGAAAUUCAUAAGCCAUGUUAAUUACUCGAUUUAUAUGAAUUGAUUUUAUUUGGUUGAAACAAGUUGAAAGGUGAUGAAUUUCAGUAUGUUAAACUGUUUUAUCUGUCUCCAUUUACUCGACUUUAGAUGGUUUAGAUGGUAUCUAUUUACUCACUGAGAUUUUAUAAUCUCACCACCCUCAUUUUCAACCAUUUCAAGCUCGAGGUAGUCUGUGGAUAGCAGAUAUCGUCAAGGAUUAUAGUCGGCUUUACUACUCCAAAAACUGUAAGUUUACAGUCUUUGUGCACUUUUGUUCCUUGUGGGCCCACGAGUCACUGGAAAGUAAAUUUCAUAUCCCGAUUAUCGGUAUUAUAGUACGUAUGAAUUUAUUUAGCUUUUACAUUACAAAAAUUAUUUACCGAUGACUCUAUAAAUAUUAUUUUACAAGAAAUUAGAAUAUUUUAUUGAAUAUUUUUAUUUUAUUCAAAUAGUUGCAAUAUCAUUUUUAAUAAAUGUUUUAGACACCCAAAUUUAUUUUAAAUCAUAAAAUAUGUGUUUUUCACUCAUCUACUACAUUUUUUGUCGGGUUCGGAAAAUUUUGAGGAAAAAUGAAGAAAACGCCCCUGUGAGGCGAAAAUUAUUUUUCCACGGUUUUGAAAGGGAAAAAGCUUAAAAUUCUUUAAAAAUGAGGUUUGACGAUGAUUACUCACAG